GGACCCGCACAAGUAGUGGAGCAUGUGGUUUAAUUCGAAGAUACGCGCAGAACCUUACCAACACUUGACAUGUUCGUCGCGACUUUAAGAGAUUAAAGUUUUCGGUUCGGCCGGACGAAACACAGGUGCUGCAUGGCUGUCGUCAGCUCGUGUCGUGAGAUGUUGGGUUAAGUCCCGCAACGAGCGCAACCCUCACUUUUAGUUGCCAUCAUUAAGUUGGGCACUCUGAAAGAACUGCCAGUGAUAAGCUGGAGGAAGGUGGGGAUGACGUCAAGUCCUCAUGGCCCUUACGUGUUGGGCUACACACGUGCUACAAUGGGAAGUACAGAGGGACGCUAAAGCGCGAGCUGGAGCCAAACCCUUAAACUUUCUAGUCCGGAUUGGAGUCUGCAACUCGACUCCAUGAAGUCGGAAUCACUAGUAAUCG
This 427-nucleotide ribosomal RNA is filed under the name uncultured bacterium. Its description in RNAcentral is "bacterial SSU rRNA". It matches the Rfam family "Bacterial small subunit ribosomal RNA", at positions 917 to 1344 of the family's 1533-position model. The record is from RNAcentral.